GACGAACGCUGGCGGCGUGCUUAACACAUGCAAGUCGAACGGAAAGGCCCUGCUUUUGUGGGGUGCUCGAGUGGCGAACGGGUGAGUAACACGUGAGUAACCUGCCCUUGACUUUGGGAUAACUUCAGGAAACUGGGGCUAAUACCGGAUAGGAGCUCCUGGUGCAUGGUGGGGGUUGGAAAGUUUCGGCGGUUGGGGAUGGACUCGCGGCUUAUCAGCUUGUUGGUGGGGUAGUGGCUUACCAAGGCUUUGACGGGUAGCCGGCCUGAGAGGGUGACCGGCCACAUUGGGACUGAGAUACGGCCCAGACUCCUACGGGGGGCAGCAGUGGGGAAUAUUGCACAAUGGGCGGAAGCCUGAUGCAGCAACGCCGCGUGCGGGAUGACGGCCUUCGGGUUGUAAACCGCUUUCGCCUGUGACGAAGCGUGAGUGACGGUAAUGGGUAAAGAAGCACCGGCUAACUACGUG
This 468-nucleotide ribosomal RNA is filed under the name uncultured bacterium. Its description in RNAcentral is "partial 16S ribosomal RNA". It matches the Rfam family "Bacterial small subunit ribosomal RNA", at positions 28 to 507 of the family's 1533-position model. The record is from RNAcentral.